This 3550-nucleotide unclassified non-coding RNA is filed under the name Schizosaccharomyces pombe (fission yeast). Its description in RNAcentral is "antisense RNA (predicted)". The record is from RNAcentral. Lineage: Eukaryota; Fungi; Ascomycota; Schizosaccharomycetes; Schizosaccharomycetales; Schizosaccharomycetaceae.
UUCAAAAUUUUAGUGGGUUUUCAGCUGGAUUAAGGAUGCAGUUCUCUCUAAACAGUCAAGAAUUAACUAUUUACUUAUAAUUAAUAUUCAUAUCUCCCUUUUAUGGAGAAAUAUGCUGAUUAGUUUCGAGCGGAAUACGCUGCUUGGCUCAUCGAUUCCGAAUAUGCUGUGGCUCAGAACGCUUUUCAUGUCGCAAUAACGAGACUUUUCGGCGUUUCUCAAUGGUAAUUGAUGCGUUAUUAUCUGGAUUUAGAGCAAAAAUUCAUACAGGUCUUUGCCUUUUCUUUCCAGAAGCCGAUGGACUCUUGAUGACUUAGUUUUGUGACCCUUUGUUUUUGAUCGCUUGUCCUCAUCCAGGUCCUCAAUAGCAGUGGUGCCUUUGUUAUGACUAACGGUGAUUAAAUCCUUUUGUUUAGUGCUAUUAUUUUUCUUCUCCGGUUUCUCUUUGCGAAGUUGUCGCUUUUCACGAUGCCGACCCACCAGUGGCUUUCUUGCGUUGGGUCGAUACUUGAAGGUGAAACCAAGAAAUUGUCUUUGAUUACCGUUCAUAACUCCAUUGCUUUUUGCUUUUUGCUCUGCCUUCCUUUGCUUUUCGUACACAUCUUUGUACGCAUCUAGUACCUGUUCGUCAUUGAAAUCAUCAAAAUAGGAAGUAUCAAGUUGAUUCUCCAAGCGGGGAACAAAUGGUGGCACAGCUCUUUUCCGCAAACCGUUCCAAUGGAGUCUCUUAAAAAAUGGAUGCUUUUGGAUUUCGAUUGUGCUUUGAAAUCUUGACGUUGGUUCUGUUAGACACUUGGUGAUGAAAGACCAUGCCUCGUCUGAAACCGAUCUCGCUUUUUUGUCGUAAAUUCCAUUUUCAUUUUUGGAGGGUCUCUGCAACAUUUCUCGCCAGUAGUAUAGAUUAGUCCACGUUUCUUGGAGCGUUGACCCAGAAAAGGGAGGAUAUCCUACCAGACAUUCAUAACAUAUGCAGCCAAGUGACCAGUAGUCUACGGUCCUAUCGUAUUUCUUUCCGUAAACAACUUCUGGAGCCAUGUAUUCAGGAGAUCCAACAACGGAAUUUACCUAAUUUUUUUUUAGUUUACGUUUGAAUCAAAAUGUCUUUACCUUGUUCUCAUUCUUUUCCAAAAGCGCUUUAUAAAUGUUUCUUCUUUGCUUUUGUGUUAAAUAAGGUCUCUGAGGAUUAACCGCGCUCACUAGUGCAUGUUGAAGUCGAUUUACCUGAUUCGAUGUAACAAUUGCAGUACUUAGCCCAAAGUCACUAAGCUUGAUAUGUCCCUUUUGAUCAAUUAAAAAGUUCUCGGGCUUUAAAUCACGAUGCAUAUAACCUAGUUUGUGGACUGCACUGAUUGCAGCGACCAUUUCUGCUAGGUAAAAUCGGGUUUGAUUUUCAUGCAAAAGCCCCUUGGUAGUCAAAAAAGUUCGAAAAUCUCCUCCAGGGACGUAUUCCAUUGCUAGAUAUACUUUUUCCUUAUCUUGAAAGGCAUAAUACAGUUUUACAAGCCAUUCGGAAUUAGUAUUCGUUAGUAUAUCUCUUUCAUUCAAUAUGUGUUUCACCUGAGCCGUUGUUAGUUUUCUUUUAAGAUCUUUAAUAGUGUCUUCUUACUUCAUUAAGUUGCUGUAAUGUUGAUUUUUUCAUCAUUUUCAUUGCUAACAAUUCGUGUGUGUUGCGCUUUUUAGCAAGCCACACAGAACCAUAUCCUCCUUGUCCAAGCUUUACUAAUAAAUCGAAAUGGCUACAUUGAAUCUUGGUUCUUUUUUUUCUCAAAAAUGCUCUUUCCCUUCCACAAUGCUCUUUCCAUAGUCGCUUCUGUUUAGAUUGUUUUAAUGACGAUGUACACGCUGUAAAUUCUUCCAAUCUUUCCUUCCUUAGUUUAUGGUACUCAAUUGUGCUAAUAUAGUAAUUGAGGAAGAAAACUUGACAGGCCAUCCGCUUUCUUCUUGUCUCGGGUCGACUAAGUAUUUCAACUUCACUGGGCUUUAGUAAUUGGUAGUAAGUUAAACCUUUAGGAUCAUUUCUUUUCGUCCAGCAAUUUUGUCUUUCUUCGUUGAGCACCAUGCGUUCAUUUUUCGAAGACACACUUGCUGACGCAUUUUCCCUGUCUCGUAAAUAGCCGCUUGAUAGUAAAAAUAAAUCAGAAAAUUCGACUCCAUUUUCUUUUGCCUUUGAUACUAGUUUGUUAUUGUCUAAUUCUUUAAGGCCCAGUAGGUCCAUUCUAUGUUUGUGGAAUCGUUCUAUAAAAUUGUCCCAAGUGAAUUGCUUUUUCCAUGCAAUGGAUUCUUUCCUUUUUUUGCUCCUAUUCAAGUUUAUGUGAGCUCAAUUUUGAAAUUUAUUUUGAGUACACGUUGUGCCUGAAUAAAACUCGAUUCUCCCAGCAAAUGUAAACAAACACCGGGUUCUGGGAAUUUUUACAAAGAUGAUACAUGCGCAGUAAAAUUUACUUAAAAAAGGUUAAAUAAAAAAUUAUAUUUCGAAUUCUUUUGCGCGAUUAAAAUAAAUUUUUUUUACGAAUAUGUGUGAUUAUUUCCUUUAUAAUCAGGGAGAUACAAACACCAAAAUGGUUAAUCGAGAACAAAAAAAAAUAAAAAAUAAAUAUAAAUCUUGGAAUUAGCUUAUUUUGUCAAUUAAAUUCUCCAACUAAGUAGAUAUGUACUGGUGAUUAAGAAAAGCUAUAUACUUCAACCGCAAACUAUCCAGAUUAUUAUUUAUGUUCUUGUGAUGAUAUAGAAGGAGACCUAGAAUUGCUUUCUUUAUCCGUUUUUAUUUGCCUUGAAAGACUCCUGUUUUGUCGAAUCAAAUCUUGAAGCCUUUCUCUGGCACCCAACUUGUCUCUUUUACGACCUUCUUGCUCAGCCUUGAGUUGAAACUCCAUCUCUCUUAGUCUCAACUGCCAUAUAUGGCUCAUUCCUUCAGCAUCUCGUUUCAAAGCUGUGAUACCUCUUUGAACUGCUGACUUAUCUGGAGAAGCGGGAACAAGCUUUUUAUCCUCGGAAUCCAAACUAACGCGUUUUGAAGCCCUUGGCGAAUUUGGAAUAGAUGAAGUUGACCCAGCGCCUAAAAGUUUCACUCGUUCUUCCAACUGUGAUAAACGCUUACUUCUAGCCUCAAGUACACCAUCAAGCUUCCUGAGUUCGGUCUUAAAUUCCCGCUCCAUUGAUUGACACUUCCGUUUGAAUUCUUGAAUGGAUUUGUCCAACUCCCUAAAAUUCAUAUUUACUGCCUGAUUCAUGCUUGAAAUUGUCGUCAAUGCUUCAACGUUGGUAUUUACAGGCUUACUUCCCGUAUUCAGUUGGGUAAAACGAGUGACAAUGUUUUUUAUGAGGGAAUUUCUUUCUUCCACUUGCUCUUUAAGGCGUUUUUCAGAUGCUUGUAAAAGUUUAAGUUCUCUAGAUUGACUCCUUUCAGAAGGACUGGAAGAUCCAGAGAGGUUUCUUCUGAAAGCUUGUGAAGACAAAUUUUCCAACUCUAAUUGGAUUGCUUUUUUGGAUCGUCUUUCCGCAUCCAGUAAGUUCUUUAACUCCUUCUUUUCAGACACUAACGUCUCCAAAG